RNAcentral lists this transfer RNA (65 nucleotides) under Cephalochlamys namaquensis. RNAcentral describes it as "tRNA-Cys". The record is from RNAcentral. Lineage: Eukaryota; Metazoa; Platyhelminthes; Cestoda; Pseudophyllidea; Cephalochlamydidae.
GAGUUUGCAGCUUUGUGGUCUUGGUUUUGCAAAAACCAUUGAAGAUAUUAUUUAUCUCAAACUCU